CCUACGGGAGGCAGCAGUGAGGAAUAUUGGUCAAUGGGCGCGAGCCUGAACCAGCCAAGUAGCGUGAAGGAUGACUGCCCUACGGGUUGUAAACUUCUUUUAUAAAGGGAUAAAGUGAUCCACGUGUGCCUUUUUGCAUGUACUGCAUGAAUAAGGAUCGGCUAAUUCCGUGCCAGCAGCCGCGGUAAUACGGAGGAUGCGAGCGUUAUCCGGAUUGAUUGGGUUUAAAGGGAGCGUAGAUGGGUUGUUAAGUCAGUUGUGAAAGUUUAAGGCUCAACCUUGAAAUUACUACUAAUACUGGCAGCCUUGAGUGCAGUUGGGGUAAGCGGAAUUCGUAGUGUAGCGGUGGAAUGCUUAGAUAUCAGGAAGAACUCCAAUUGCGAAGGCAGGUUACUAGACUGUAACUGACACUGAUGCACGAAAGUGUGGGUAGCAAACAGGAUUAGAUACCCUUGUAGUC
Molecule: ribosomal RNA, 460 nt
Filed under: uncultured bacterium
Lineage: Bacteria
Description: partial 16S ribosomal RNA
Rfam family: Bacterial small subunit ribosomal RNA
Source: RNAcentral